Long non-coding RNA from Mus musculus (house mouse), 1027 nucleotides. RefSeq annotates it as predicted gene, 33885. NCBI's taxonomy places the organism in Eukaryota, Metazoa, Chordata, Mammalia, Rodentia, Muridae. The transcript has 3 exons. The record is from RefSeq and is a predicted model, not a curated record.
GUACCCAUGAAGUCCAGAAGAGGACAGCAGAUCCCCAUAGCUGGAGUUGCAGGCAUCUGUAAGCUGUCCAAACAUCUGGGAACUCUCAUAGGGUCCUGUGGAGAGCAAGAAGGUCUCUAACCACUGAGCUUUUCUCCAGCCCCCUCACGCUGUAUUUCAACAGUGGUAACAUAGGUCACCAGCAGGUAUGCCUUUUAACUCCUCUUACCCACAGGAUAAUGAAGCUUUAAGCCUGACAGUUAAAAUAUCCCUUAAUCGGAAUGUGUGCACUAUGCAUGUGUGCACCAGGAACUGACUGUGUCCUCCCCAGAUCAGACGCUGAAGCUCCAGCCUUCAGCACAGAGAGGAGGCCACUGGAAAGAGAUAAGCUUAAAUUAAGCAGAGGCUGGAGCCUGGAUAGGACAGAGUAGUGUUUGGAGAGAUACCACAGAAAUCCUUUCAGACAAGACAAAUGGCAAACGCCCCACGAGACACAGGGAGCAGCUGUCCACAAGCUAAGGAAGCCUUGAUGAUCUCUCAGCCUUCACAAGUGUGAGAACCGGAAGAAUGCUGUGUGUAUCAUCUGUAAUCUUCUAUAGUCACGCUGACUCAUGAAACAUUAUGCUUACUCACCCUUGAAGAGUAAUACACUCUUGGGAGCUUUCAGCCCAGCAGCCACUCAGCAUUGCAGCAAAAUAACUCGACCUGGCACUUAAAAUGGCCCUGAAGAGAGAGGAUGGAAACAGGCAGAACACUUUCUUCUGAUGACAUCUUAGGUUCACAUGGAUUUGAGCAGAUUUGCUCAGACUGAAACUUGUGCAUAUGUGAGCCUGCAGGCAUGAAGCCCUGUCUGGUGGCCAGCUUCUCCUCUGCCAGAUUCUGACCCUGAACAGCUGCUGUGGAGCCCUAUGUCUGCAGGAAUGUGCUGGAAAACCACCCACUCUUCUCUGAACCUAUGUCACACCAGCAGAUCCAUCAGUCCCCACCUGUGGGCUCGGAAGCUCCUCCCAUCAACACAAAUGUCAAUGUCAGGGUAGUGCUGACUCAG